RNAcentral lists this ribosomal RNA (484 nucleotides) under uncultured Desulfobulbus sp. RNAcentral describes it as "bacterial SSU rRNA". It matches the Rfam family "Bacterial small subunit ribosomal RNA", at positions 902 to 1382 of the family's 1533-position model. The record is from RNAcentral. Lineage: Bacteria; Pseudomonadati; Thermodesulfobacteriota; Desulfobulbia; Desulfobulbales; Desulfobulbaceae.
CAAAGGAAUUGACGGGGCCCGCACAAGCGGUGGAGUAUGUGGUUAAUUCGAUGCAACGCGAAGAACCUUACCUGGUCUUGACAUCCCGGAGACCCUUAGGAAACUAGGGGGUGCUUCCAUCUGGAAGAAUCUGGAGACAGGUGCUGCAUGGCUGUCGUCAGCUCGUGUCGUGAGAUGUUGGGUUAAGUCCCGCAACGAGCGCAACCCUUGCCUUUAGUUGCCAGCAGUUCGGCUGGGCACUCUAAAGGGACUGCCGGUGUUAAACCGGAGGAAGGUGGGGAUGACGUCAAGUCCUCAUGGCCUUUAUGACCAGGGCUACACACGUACUACAAUGGCCGAUACAAAGGGCAGCGACACUGCGAGGUGAAGCCAAUCCCGUAAAAUCGGUCUCAGUCCGGAUUGGAGUCUGCAACUCGACUCCAUGAAGUUGGAAUCGCUAGUAAUCGUGGAUCAGCAUGCCACGGUGAAUACGUUCCCGGGCCUU